GAAUAUUUGCUGGUGAGUUUGUAGGACCAAUGUGGUUGGGAGCUGUUAAGGCACUAUGAGAUGCUUGUGUGGGAUUAUUAGAUGAAGAGGGUGUUGGUGAUUGGAAAGCAGAAGGAUUAGAUUGUGCCUGCGGAACCGUGCUAGAGGAACCCGGAGAUGGAAUCUGAACAGAAUUUCCUCCAUAGGGACUGCUUGCGUUAUUCAUUGAAUUUUGUUGUCUUGAAUUCAUAGAAU
Molecule: unclassified non-coding RNA, 234 nt
Filed under: Hevea brasiliensis (rubber tree)
Lineage: Eukaryota; Viridiplantae; Streptophyta; Magnoliopsida; Malpighiales; Euphorbiaceae
Source: RNAcentral